UGAGUGAAAGCCAAUAAGGCGCCUAGCUGUUAAUUAGGAGUCCGUAGAAAUAUCUCUCUACUCAUUCAG
Molecule: transfer RNA, 69 nt
Filed under: Umbonium thomasi
Lineage: Eukaryota; Metazoa; Mollusca; Gastropoda; Trochida; Trochidae
Description: tRNA-Asn
Source: RNAcentral